This 323-nucleotide ribosomal RNA is filed under the name uncultured eukaryote. Its description in RNAcentral is "partial 18S ribosomal RNA". It matches the Rfam family "Eukaryotic small subunit ribosomal RNA", at positions 1470 to 1796 of the family's 1831-position model. The record is from RNAcentral.
CCCUUAGAUGUUCUGGGCCGCACGCGUGCUACACUGAGUGGAUCAGCGGGUCAGGUUGCGCGAAAGCGUUUCCUAAUCUUUAAAUCCGCUCGUGAUGGGGAUUGACGGUUGCAAUUUUCUGUCAUGAACGAGGAAUACCUUGUAAGCGCGGGUCAUCAUCCCGCGCUGAAUACGUCCCUGCCCUUUGUACACACCGCCCGUCGCUCCUACCGAUUGAGCAUCCCGGUGAAGACUCAGGAGAUAUGUACGUGGCUGGUCUCCAGCUGCGUUGCGUGCCGAAUUUGUCUAAACCUUGAUGCUUAGAGGAAGGAGAAGUCGUAACA